Gadus macrocephalus (Pacific cod) is the source of this 1080-nucleotide long non-coding RNA. RefSeq lists it as uncharacterized. The transcript has 3 exons. NCBI's taxonomy places the organism in Eukaryota, Metazoa, Chordata, Actinopteri, Gadiformes, Gadidae. The record is from RefSeq and is a predicted model, not a curated record.
AAUGCUGAUAAGGGUGAUGGUGAUCAACAGCGUUAUUCUCAUCAUGGAUAUCAUCAUUAUUUAUGAUAUUAUCCAUCUUAUGGUGGAAAUUUACGGGAUAGAAGUAUUGACCCUGAUGGGUAUAUGUAGGCGUGCAUAUGUCUUUAUGUAGGUAAGUGUAUGCAUGUAUAUUGUGGCAUCCCGCCACGUAAACCUCGGCCUGGACGGGCCCGAGGGACGGUGAAGGACGGGGUAUACCACCCCCACCCACCAGCCGGCGACGGAGAGCAUCCCUUUCGCCUCCCCAAUCAGGGUGAUUGGUGGACACCUGGCCGGUGGCAGAGGAGCCAUCUUAAAAGGAGGUCCAGGACAGCACAGCACGGCACGGGAGCAAGGAGGAAGUGCUCGUGACCGGGAGAGGCUAGAGGCUAGAGGCCCACGGAGGCCCUAGAGACUGCGAGCUCCUUGUUUGAUUUAAGUUGAUUGUAAAUAAAUGCCUUUAACGGAGUAUACGCACGCUAAAAGUGUCGUUCAUCCGUGGAAUCUGGCCCAACCGAGCACCGGGUUACCACAAUAUGCAAACACACUGUGUGCCGCCUCACCAGCCCCAGACUCCAGUCAGAGCCGGCCAGGUGAGGCUGCCUAGACCAGCCGUCCUCCACACACCACGCCCACGUUGACCCGCACCACCAACGGGAGGCUGGGGAGCAUCCCCGGCCUCACGAAGCCGUUACGCUCCAACGCGUGUUCAGCCGCUCCAACGCGUGUUCAGCCGCUCACGUAGCUGCGUCUCAGUUCUGUCCUCCCCAGGUGAGGGCGGGUCCAGUCCGGGGGUUCUUCAUUCCCCAACACGACCACCCAGGGCCGCUGCUGGCCAUUUCAGCGCCCUACACGAGCGGGAGGCACCGACAUUUUUUACCUGAUAUAGGUACUCGGUGCCCUACGCACUCUGCGUACUCUGCGUAUAGGGAGCGGCGGGCCUGCGACCAGCACACACACAGGUCCAGAAGUCCCAGUCUGCCAGCACUCAGCGGUUAGAGGAAGCCUCCCCCACCGGGACCCCAUAAGGUCCAGGAGCAGAACCCUGGAGGUCCAAACGCU